This 214-nucleotide long non-coding RNA is filed under the name Chinchilla lanigera (long-tailed chinchilla). RNAcentral describes it as "lncRNA (ENSCLAG00000022514.1)". Lineage: Eukaryota; Metazoa; Chordata; Mammalia; Rodentia; Chinchillidae. The record is from RNAcentral.
CAAGGAAAAUGAUUUCUGAGAGAUGGAAACAAAAUGAAGUGGUCCAAUGAUGCCCUCCUUAGUUUAAUGCCUUGAGAGUUUCCAACCCAUGGACAAGGAAGAAUUGACAAGUUUCUUGAAAGACAUUAAUUAUAAAAGUUCACUCAAGAAAAAAACAGAUUUAAAGCUAUACGCCUACUCAAGAUGAAAAUGCCUGCUGUCUCUUGAGGGCCUU